ACCCCAGGAUUCUGUGAUUCCCUUUGUUUCCCCCUUUUCCCAAUUAACCUCGUUUUAAGCUGUGAUCACCAGCAGUGCCUUUUACCCUCUGCUGCCCUUCUGCAGGUUUUCCAUCCCCAGCUGCCUCAUCCAGCCCUGCUCUUAGCACCAGGCAUUAAUAAAGCCAAAGCAGAGGUCAGCAUGAUCAUCCCCUGGCUCAGCCUGCUGCAGGGAAACCCUUCCCAACAGAGGGAAAAUUGCAAGUGGUUAUGGAAAUUAUGGGGCAGGUAGGAAAUAGCAUUCCAGCCUGGUUUAAUUUGUGAGUGGAUGUCCUGGAAAUAAGGUACAGCAAUGCAUAGCACAGGUUGUUCCAGCGUGGAUGUUGGGCUUGCCCUUGUGUGAGCGUGAUGCUGCCUCAUGAUGUGGGAGCAGAUAUUAUAACCUUGAAGAAUCUUGUAGGACAUAAAAGUUUUAAUUAAAAAUCCAGCUUGGUUGAGGGUAUUUUGGUUUAGUAUGAAUGUCUUCAUUUCUUUUGAAAAAAGAAUUAAAUGAAACCCUUAGUAUUCCUUUUUUUUUCUUUUUUUUUUUGAUUCCUGCAUAUUUAUUCUUGAAGUUGAAGCAUUAGAAAAUAAUUGAGUAAAACAAAAUCCACAAGGCUUCAAAUUACCUCUAGCUUAAUGUUUUAUUUAAAAGGUUUGCUAACUGACAUUCUUUAUAAUGAAUUAGGUCACGCGGCUCCGAGGAGUGUUGUCGGUUUUCUUUUUUACAUUUAAAUUUGAGGCUGCUUCCCUUGAAACUUGGGCUCUGCUGCCAGAGCUGUGACUCCCUGGCUCAGGGAAUCUCACUCUAAUUAUUCUCAAUCACACCAGCGCAAAUGAAUAUAUCCAUGUUUGGAGGGUGGCAGCGGUGUUGUCAUGGCAAUCUCGGGAAGGUCAUGAGAAACUCAUGGAUUUUGUUCUCUGCCCCUCCUGGGAGGCUCCACCUUCGCUGUGGGGAAGGGCUUUGGGGCAGGAUCUCCUUGGGGUUGGCUUGGAAGGAUUUGCUGGUUCCUGCUGGGGUGGCGGAGGGUUUGUGGCUCUCUGCUCGUGCUCCUCUGGGCGUCACAUCCCCACUCAGGCUUGUUCUGGAAUGUUCUGGGAUCCUCCUGAACCUCAGGGGCAGCAGAAGGACCUUGGGGCUCCUGGACUUGCCAAAAACCCUCUGAGGAAUCCACCCUGGUCCAUUUUACCUCGCCCACCCAACACCUGCAGGAGUGGCCAGUGAGCUGUGAGGGCAAAACCGUGUCUGAAGAGGUUUAAAAAGGCACAGGGGAGCCUUUAAUGCUGGGAAAACAUUUAACUGCAGCUUCUGCAGUAUUUAACAGGGCUUCAAACCCCUCUGAUUAUCCCUGGCGUUGGCUUUUGUCGAUCCUUUGGUUGGCUAACGUGUCCCUUUCAGCUUUGGUGACAAUAAAAUGUGAGUAAGCAGAAAACUCGAAUUUCUG
RNAcentral lists this long non-coding RNA (1462 nucleotides) under Junco hyemalis (dark-eyed junco). RNAcentral describes it as "lncRNA (ENSJHYG00000005380.1)". The record is from RNAcentral. Lineage: Eukaryota; Metazoa; Chordata; Aves; Passeriformes; Passerellidae.